RNAcentral lists this ribosomal RNA (424 nucleotides) under uncultured Clostridium sp. Its description in RNAcentral is "bacterial SSU rRNA". It matches the Rfam family "Bacterial small subunit ribosomal RNA", at positions 355 to 794 of the family's 1533-position model. Lineage: Bacteria; Bacillati; Bacillota; Clostridia; Eubacteriales; Clostridiaceae. The record is from RNAcentral.
UGGGGAAUAUUGCACAAUGGGCGCAAGCCUGAUGCAGCAACGCCGCGUGAGGGAAGACGGUCUUCGGAUUGUAAACCUUUGUCUUUGGUGAAGAAUAGAUGACGGUAGCCAAGGAGGAAGCCACGGCUAACUACGUGCCAGCAGCCGCGGUAAUACGUAGGUGGCGAGCGUUGUCCGGAUUUACUGGGCGUAAAGGAUGCGUAGGCGGAUGCUUAAGCCAGAUGUGAAAUACCCGAGCUUAACUUGGGUGCUGCAUUUGAAACUGGGCAUCUAGAGUGUCGGAGAGGAAAGCGGAAUUCCUAGUGUAGCGGUGAAAUGCGUAGAGAUUAGGAAGAACACCAGUGGCGAAGGCGGCUUUCUGGACGAUAACUGACGCUGAGGCAUGAAAGCGUGGGGAGCAAACAGGAUUAGAUACCCUGGUAGU